AACGAACGCUGGCGGCAUGCUUAACACAUGCAAGUCGAACGAGACCUUCGGGUCUAGUGGCGCACGGGUGCGUAACGCGUGGGAAUCUGCCCUUAGGUACGGAAUAACUCAGAGAAAUUUGUGCUAAUACCGUAUGAUGUCGAAAGACCAAAGAUUUAUCGCCUAAGGAUGAGCCCGCGUAAGAUUAGCUUGUUGGUGAGGUAAAAGCUCACAAAGGCGACGAUCUUUAGCUGGUCUGAGAGGAUGAUCAGCCACACUGGGACUAAGACACGGCCCAGACUCCUACGGGAGGCAGCAGUGGGGAAUAUUGGACGAUGGGCGAAAGCCUGAUCCAGCAAUGCCGCGUGAGUGAUGAAGGCCUUAGGGUUGUAAAGCUCUUUUACCAGGGAUGAUAAUGACAGUACCUGGAGAAUAAGCUCCGGCUAACUCCGUGCCAGCCGCCGCUGUAA
Molecule: ribosomal RNA, 449 nt
Filed under: uncultured bacterium
Lineage: Bacteria
Description: partial 16S ribosomal RNA
Rfam family: Bacterial small subunit ribosomal RNA
Source: RNAcentral